AUGCUUGGAGAAACGCUGUUAGAUCCACAGGGUGCUGUGAGUUCAGUCCUCAGAACCUUCAGGAGAGAAGAGGUGCUUCUUGGAGGUAGGGGUAAAGGAAGCUGGACUUCAAGCCCCUGCUGUUUUUCCCAUGUGGGGCCCUUUGCAUCGGGCUUUUCCCCUCUCCUGGCUCUGGGAUCCGCUUCCUUGCAGGAGUGCGGAGCUGUGCCUGUCGCCACGGGUCCAGCUUCCCCUCCGUGUUCAGGUUCAGCUUCAGAGCCCCACAUUGUGCCCCCCUGGCCGGGUCUCACCGUGCCGACGGCCCCGCAGUGCUCAGGGCGGCCCCGUGGGCACUCGGCUCGACCGGGGAGAGGGCGCUCGGCGGGAGCGUGGAAGAGGGCUCCCAGUCAGUGUGCAAGCACCAUUGUUUUGACACCGAGGCAUAUGGUGCCGUCAAAAACAGCAAAAAGAAACCCCACAGCAGAUGCUGCAAAGGCAGAAAGCUGGCAAGAGACAGCCAGGCCUGCAAAAUGCCUGCUUCGCCGGCGCUGCGUGGUGAGCCAGCAAGCGGGGAGCUCGCCGGGGCUGGCUCCGUGCACGCCGGGACCGUUCCACGUCCCUGACCCACUGCAGGCCAGCGGUCCUGCCCUGUGGACCUGUGCAGGUGCUGAACAGCCAGGCUGCUGCGGAGGUGUGAGAGCAGGAUGGGUUUGUGCAGCACAGCCAGGGCCCAGCCUGCUUGUGUCUGAUGCAGGGGCUCUGGCUCUUGUCUGGGGAUCCUUAACUGCACGCCUGUCCUCUGCUAGCCAGGGCUUACCCUGCUGUAAAACUGCUGCUUGGGCAGGGAGGGGUUUUCUUGCAGACAAAACGAGUGUUUCAGGGGCCUGUGAGUACAGAGGAUUUGGCCUCUGGUCCUUCUGGUCCUUUUGGUCCUCCAGCCUGGCAGGAGCAGUGCAGGACCGCUGCUGGCCCCUGUUUUUUUGGCUUCCUUUUUGGAGGCAGCCCCUGCACCUCCUGGCAGGGUGGGGACCCACUCAUGUACCAGCCCUUCCUCCUCUGCACGAGCAGAGCAAAUGCUGCCUUCUAUAA
RNAcentral lists this long non-coding RNA (1068 nucleotides) under Anas platyrhynchos platyrhynchos (common mallard). RNAcentral describes it as "lncRNA (ENSAPLG00000029073.1)". The record is from RNAcentral. Lineage: Eukaryota; Metazoa; Chordata; Aves; Anseriformes; Anatidae.